This 347-nucleotide RNase P RNA is filed under the name Clostridiales bacterium. RNAcentral describes it as "RNase P RNA component class A". It matches the Rfam family "Bacterial RNase P class A". Rfam says of the family: Ribonuclease P (RNase P) is a ubiquitous endoribonuclease, found in archaea, bacteria and eukarya as well as chloroplasts and mitochondria. Its best characterised activity is the generation of mature 5'-ends of tRNAs by cleaving the 5'-leader elements of precursor-tRNAs. The record is from RNAcentral. Lineage: Bacteria; Bacillati; Bacillota; Clostridia; Eubacteriales.
CAAGCAAGCCAGACAGUCGCGUGCACAGCGCCGAAAGGCCGUGUAUGAGGAAAGUCCGGGCUCCACAGGGCAAGGAUAACGGGUAACGCCCGCCGAAGGCGACUUCAGGAAAAGUGCAACAGAGAUAUACCGCCGCAGCAAUUGCGGUAAGGGUGGAAAGGCGAGGUAAGAGCUCACCGGCCGGCCGGGAACGGUCCGGUCCUGUAAACUCUAUCCGGAGCAACACCGUGGUGGAAGCAUACGGCCUGCCCGGCCGCUUCCGGGAGGUGGCGUGAGCGCAGCGGCAACGCUGCGCCAAGAUAGAUGACUGUCAAAUACAGAACCCGGCUUACAGACUUACUUGCACC